Molecule: long non-coding RNA, 1662 nt
Organism: Zeugodacus cucurbitae (melon fly)
Lineage: Eukaryota; Metazoa; Arthropoda; Insecta; Diptera; Tephritidae
Exons: 3
Source: RefSeq, a predicted model, not a curated record
AACUACUGAAUAAACUAUUCUACCUCCAGUAGUCCGUCGAAAGUGGAGAUCAGACAUUCUUAGCAUGCCUUAAGACAAAUAUGAAAUAAUCUAGUGUGACAAUGCUGGAACCCGCAUAAUCUAGAAUGGUGGACAAGUCUCUAAGAAUAUCCAUAUCUGUGACAGCAAUGCAAAUGGGUCAUACAGAAAUGACAUUGAGAAUUCUCCUGGAAGUUUUCUAUCUGAGCUAAGACCAUGGUAUUUCAACUUAUAAGCUCAUUGUAUGUAAAACACCAAAUGAUGGAAGAGAUGUUUUCGGAACUUCAUACUUCCUAUCCUACCAGCAAGUCUUGAGUACUAGACGGUUUUAAUCGAGUUAAUCUGCCAUCGUUCUAGUACUGCAAUUGUUAUUAAAGGAGAGGGAUUGCAUGUUAUUUAAGCACCUACGAAAAGCUUUGAUCGCCAGAGCUAAUCACAAUUACAAAAACAAUUUAAAUGCCCAACAGAAUUUAAAGAGAAAGCACAUUGCACGCAAUAAAAUUUGAAAGAGAGAAAUGUUCGCAUGCAAUUUUUUUGCAAAAUCUCAUCAAAUUUUAAUAGAAUCGUGAGAGCAGAAAGCUUUGUGCUUUUUUCAGUGACAUUUGGAUAUACACACACAUAUUCAGUCCAUCUGUAUUCAUACCACUUGCAAUGCAACCUGUACUUUCCGACCACCAAUUGGGGUUGUCGAAGCUUUCCGGCAUUCGGACCAACACAGGUCAAUAAUUUCUAAUUUCAUUUAAGUACCAGCCGUGCGCAUGCAACACAGUUAAUUCCGGCCGUCAUGCUAUUGCAGCUGCUGAUUUCCAGUAUGUCGUCAAGCGCUUUGAGCCGGAAGUGGUGUAGCUCUAGAGCGGAAAUGACUAUUUUGAAAAGCGCAAUGCGAUGAGCAGUUGUUGCAGAGACUUCGUUUGAGUCUUCCAAAGGCUAAUCGGAACUUCAACCAAUCUAAAACCCUAGUUAAAUGGACUAUCGAUAUCUUUCAAUGGAAUUGAUAGUCUAAACUUAGCAACUAUAAUUUUGAGGUUAUGAAAAACUGAUAGAGGUAUUAAGAAGAAAAAUGUAUUCUGUGAGCAGCUACGAUCCGUCUGAACUGCGAUUUUCGUGCUUCGAACUUAUAUAAUACCAGAGCUAUAAGUGAAGAGAGUAAAAAAGUAUUCCGACUAGAACAAGAAACCAAAAAAAAAGAAAUCGCUUGAUCGUCUAUAUUUUUAGUUGGCAAUAAGAACAAUUAAAAUUCAUACUAUUUACUUAUAUACUAUGUUGUUAUAUAUUUUUAAACGAUGAACAGUUGAUUUUAAAAGAAGCUUUAUGAAAGUGAAAUAUUUGAGAUAAGUUGUGACGUGAUUUGUCAGUUCGGUAUGCAGCCUUUCCCAACUGGUUGAUUUAUUACUUUAUUUAUUCUUUUAUUUAAUAUUUGCUCAAGUGAGUUUAAACACGUUGACAAAGUGAUUUUUAUGAACCUUGCGUACUUACUGAUUUAUGAGUAUUUGUGUUUGAGUUGCCGAUCCAUUAUUGUAAGAUAAGUGCUGGCUUUAGAAUAUAUGAGGUUCUGUCACACUGAGUUUUUCAAUUUAUUUAUGAAGACAAUUCAAGUUCAUUUUCAUUAUUUAUUUGUUUUGUAAUCAGUCACUUUGGCGUUAU